Molecule: ribosomal RNA, 1327 nt
Filed under: uncultured bacterium
Lineage: Bacteria
Description: bacterial SSU rRNA
Rfam family: Bacterial small subunit ribosomal RNA
Source: RNAcentral
GCGGCGCGCCUAACACAUGCAAGUCGAACGAGAGAUGAGGAGCUUGCUCUUCAAAUCGAGUGGCGAACGGGUGAGUAACGCGUGAGGAACCUGCCUCAAAGAGGGGGACAACAGUUGGAAACGACUGCUAAUACCGCAUAAGCCCACGGCUCGGCAUCGAGCAGAGGGAAAAGGAGCAAUCCGCUUUGAGAUGGCCUCGCGUCCGAUUAGCUAGUUGGUGAGGUAAUGGCCCACCAAGGCGACGAUCGGUAGCCGGACUGAGAGGUUGAACGGCCACAUUGGGACUGAGACACGGCCCAGACUCCUACGGGAGGCAGCAGUGGGGAAUAUUGCACAAUGGGGGAAACCCUGAUGCAGCGACGCCGCGUGGAGGAAGAAGGUCUUCGGAUUGUAAACUCCUGUUGUUGAGGAAGAUAAUGACGGUACUCAACAAGGAAGUGACGGCUAACUACGUGCCAGCAGCCGCGGUAAAACGUAGGUCACAAGCGUUGUCCGGAAUUACUGGGUGUAAAGGGAGCGCAGGCGGGAGAACAAGUUGGAAGUGAAAUCCAUGGGCUCAACCCAUGAACUGCUUUCAAAACUGUUUUUCUUGAGUAGUGCAGAGGUAGGCGGAAUUCCCGGUGUAGCGGUGGAAUGCGUAGAUAUCGGGAGGAACACCAGUGGCGAAGGCGGCCUACUGGGCACCAACUGACGCUGAGGCUCGAAAGUGUGGGUAGCAAACAGGAUUAGAUACCCUGGUAGUCCACACCGUAAACGAUGAUUACUAGGUGUUGGAGGAUUGACCCCUUCAGUGCCGCAGUUAACACAAUAAGUAAUCCACCUGGGGAGUACGACCGCAAGGUUGAAACUCAAAGGAAUUGACGGGGGCCCGCACAAGCAGUGGAGUAUGUGGUUUAAUUCGACGCAACGCGAAGAACCUUACCAAGUCUUGACAUCCCUUGACGAACAUAGAAAUAUGUUUUCUCUUCGGAGCAAGGAGACAGGUGGUGCAUGGUUGUCGUCAGCUCGUGUCGUGAGAUGUUGGGUUAAGUCCCGCAACGAGCGCAACCCUUAUGGUCAGUUACUACGCAAGAGGACUCUGGCCAGACUGCCGUUGACAAAACGGAGGAAGGUGGGGAUGACGUCAAAUCAUCAUGCCCUUUAUGACUUGGGCUACACACGUACUACAAUGGCGUUAAACAAAGAGAAGCAAGACCGCGAGGUGGAGCAAAACUCAGAAACAACGUCCCAGUUCGGACUGCAGGCUGCAACUCGCCUGCACGAAGUCGGAAUUGCUAGUAAUCGUGGAUCAGCAUGCCACGGUGAAUACGUUCCCGGGCCUUGCACA